Molecule: small nuclear RNA, 139 nt
Organism: Ursus americanus (American black bear)
Lineage: Eukaryota; Metazoa; Chordata; Mammalia; Carnivora; Ursidae
Gene: U4
Rfam family: U4 spliceosomal RNA
About the family: U4 small nuclear RNA (U4 snRNA) is a component of the major U2-dependent spliceosome.
Source: Ensembl
AGCUUUGCACCGCUGCAGGAUCGCAGCCAAUGAGGUUUAUUCAAGGCGCGAUCACUGCUAAUUGAAAACAAAGAGCAGAUUACUACUGCUCGCCUGCAUGGGGGACAGAAGUGUCUCUUCUCUGCCCUUGCUCUCGGGC